RNAcentral lists this ribosomal RNA (259 nucleotides) under uncultured bacterium. RNAcentral describes it as "partial 16S ribosomal RNA". It matches the Rfam family "Bacterial small subunit ribosomal RNA", at positions 524 to 776 of the family's 1533-position model. The record is from RNAcentral.
UACGUAAGGGGGCUAGCGUUGUUCGGAAGUUACUGGGCGUAAAGCGCGCGCAGGCGGCGUAAUCCAAGUCAGUGGUGAAAGCCCGGAGCUCAACUCCGGAACUGCCAUUGAAACUGUUUAGCUUGAGGACGAGAGAGGUGAGUGGAAUUCCCAGUGUAGAGGUGAAAUUCGUAGAUAUUGGGAAGAACACCGGUGGCGAAGGCGGCUCACUGGCUCGUAUCUGACGCUCAGGCGGCGACAGCGUGGGGACUCAAACAGG